This is a long non-coding RNA of Triticum aestivum (bread wheat), 1829 nucleotides long. RefSeq lists it as uncharacterized. The record is from RefSeq and is a predicted model, not a curated record. NCBI's taxonomy places the organism in Eukaryota, Viridiplantae, Streptophyta, Magnoliopsida, Poales, Poaceae. The transcript is spliced from 5 exons.
GGCCAAAUAGAAAAGCAAAAUUUAAGAAAAGGCCAAAUAAGGAAUUCUCUCUUCUCCUAGCCUGUUUCUCGUUCUGUGCUUCCUGAGCGGCGGCGCACACCACCUGUUCGACGGAACACCGCUCCAGAGCUGGAAGCCUCGUCCAUGGCGAGCGGGGUGGAUCGCAUCAGCACCCUCCCAGAUGCCGUCCUCCACCAAGUGCUCCACUUCCUGCCGUCUCAAGAGGUGGUGCGGACGUGCGUGCUCGCCCGGCGCUGGCUCGGCGUCUGGAGGUUCAUGCCCGCCCUCCGCUUCAACGGCGCCAAGGGGUGGGACAGCGCCGACAGGUUCGCCCAGUUCGUGGACCACCUGCUCCACCUCAGAUUCGAGGGCGACGGCAGCGCAUGCGCACCUCUGGAUUCCUGCGAUUUCGACUUCGAUGCCGACGGGUUCAUGCGAUUGCCCACUAAUGAGCAGCAUGCGAGCAACUGGAUCUGGAAAGUCGUCCCCAGUGUCCGGAUGCUCCGGCUUCGUGUGGUCGAGUUUGGGCAGGAACCCUCGCCACUAUCUGAUCUGCAUCUCGUUUCCCAGCACCUCACCAAGUUAGAGCUUGUUGGUGUCGGUGUGAAAGACAGCGUUGUUGAUUUUUCAGGCUGUCCGGCACUGGUGGAGCUGAGUAUGGAUGUUUGCGAUGUUUUUGUCAAACAGCUGCUGUCUCCAUCCUUGAAGCAUCUGCGCAUUACCCGCUGUUAUACCUCUGAGUACACUCGCAUCCUUAUUUCUGUACCCAGUCUUGUUUCUCUCGAGUUGAUCGAAUGCCGUCAAGGAAGGGUCCAUUGCUUGAAAUCUUGCCGCGGUUAGCAAGAGCUGCUGUUGUGCUUACCGAUGAUUGUAUUGAUCGAUGCUCCAAGGGUCGAUUUGAUAAUUGUGGUGCUGAUAUCUGUGAAGAUUGUUGGUAUUAGUAUGGGGAUCCUGAAUAUGGGCCUAUUUAUGACCGCAAUAACAGCAUCUUCCUCAAAGGUUUAUCUGAAGCUACGGACUUGGAGUUAUCAGCUGAUUCGGAUUUGAUUCUUUUCGACAGGGAUUUGAAGUGGUGCCCUACAUUUACCAAGUUGAAGACUUUGUUACUUAAUGAUUGGUGUUUGGCUGCCAACCACAGUGCACUGAUUUGUUUUCUCCAACACUCGCCGAUUUUGGAGAAGCUUACUCUUCAACUUUCUAAGGGACCUUCAUAUGUGACUGAAACAGAAGGAAUGUACAAACCAUUGGGACUGUCAGUUGCAUCCAACUGUCUGAAGAUCGUUGAAAUUAGAUGUGCAAGUGUUGAUAGUAAGGUUCACAGGCUUUUCAAGAUACUGACUACCUAUGGUAUACGCCUUGAGCAAAUUAGGGUCCAACAAACUAGCAAAAUUUCUUCAUCUGGAUGUUUCAAUUUUGUUUGCAGUAGUUUCAGCUAAAACUAGAGGUACGACGUCGGGACGGCCUAUGACAAUAAGUUAGUCAGCCACAUUCUCUCCACGGGAGGAGAGCUACUUCGCCUCAUUGAACAAGCUGCUCAUCAUCGUCCGCAAUCCCUUGCUCUCCAUAGCUGCUUGUCAUCGUUCCAAAGCCAUAUCACUGUGGUUUUGUACUCCAUAUUAGAUCAUUGCAGUAGUGUACGUCUGCUAAACAAUGUUUCUUGGUUCAUGAAAACUUUUGUGCUGAGAAUUAUUCUGAGUUUCUAAUCGACACACUAAAAUUGUUGUGCUAUCGUCUUGUAAAAGGAUGAUGCGCCAAUCCAUAUGUCCGCAUUGGCUUGUUGCUAAGAACCACAGGGCUUAGUUGCUCAGAAAUGGAAGUCCCCAAACGAA